Molecule: long non-coding RNA, 317 nt
Organism: Lycium barbarum (goji berry)
Lineage: Eukaryota; Viridiplantae; Streptophyta; Magnoliopsida; Solanales; Solanaceae
Exons: 3
Source: RefSeq, a predicted model, not a curated record
UCCUCAAGUUCUCUCAAAUCCAUCCAAGAUCAAGUAUAGCUUUAUUCCUUCGUCGAUUUCAUGAUUAUAAUUUCGAUCCCCUCCGAAUCUUAGCAAUUUCGGGAUUACUUUGUGUUGAAGUUGAAGCUUUCUUCUAGGUGAAGUAUCCUAAGAUUAAGGAUUUUCUUGUGUGAUUGAGAUUUUGGACGAAACGGGAAGUGAACUUGGAAAGGCGUAAAGAGCGUAAAAGGUACUGACGACAGGUUUUGGUGACCCACCCGCCUAGGACAUAUAUUCUGCUAUUUGGAGCACUCUUUGUCCAGAGCCUAUAUUUUGGU